GAUGAACGCUGGCGGCGUGCCUAAUACAUGCAAGUCGAGCGAACGGACGAGAAGCUUGCUUCUCUGAUGUUAGCGGCGGACGGGUGAGUAACACGUGGAUAACCUACCUAUAAGACUGGGAUAACUUCGGGAAACCGAAGUUAAAACCGGAUAAUAUUUUGAACCGCAUGGUUCAAAAGUGAAAGACGGUCUUGCUGUCACUUAUAGAUGGAUCCGCGCUGCAUUAGCUAGUUGGUAAGGUAACGGCUUACCAAGGCAACGAUGCAUAGCCGACCUGAGAGGGUGAUCGGCCACACUGGCACUGAGACACAGUCCAGACUCCUACGGGAGGAAGCAGUAGGGAAUCUUCCGCAAAGGACGAAAGCCUGACGGAGCAACGCCGCGUGAGUGAUGAAGGUCUUCGGAUCGUAAAACUCUGUUAUUAGGGAAGAACAAAUGUGUAAGUAACUGUGCACAUCUUGACGGUACCUAAUCAGAAAGCCACGGCUAACUACGUG
Molecule: ribosomal RNA, 497 nt
Filed under: uncultured bacterium
Lineage: Bacteria
Description: partial 16S ribosomal RNA
Rfam family: Bacterial small subunit ribosomal RNA
Source: RNAcentral